RNAcentral lists this ribosomal RNA (305 nucleotides) under uncultured bacterium. Its description in RNAcentral is "bacterial SSU rRNA". It matches the Rfam family "Bacterial small subunit ribosomal RNA", at positions 338 to 659 of the family's 1533-position model. The record is from RNAcentral.
CCUACGGGGGGCAGCAGUCGGGAAUAUUGCGCAAUGGAGGAAACUCUGACGCAGUGACGCCGCGUGCAGGAAGAAGGUUUUCGGAUUGUAAACUGCUUUAGACAGGGAAGAAACAAGACAGUACCUGUAGAAUAAGCUCCGGCUAACUACGUGCCAGCAGCCGCGGUAAUACGUAGGGAGCAAGCGUUAUCCGGAUUUAUUGGGUGUAAAGGGUGCGUAGACGGGAAAUUAAGUCAGAAGUGAAAUCCAUGGGCUUAACCCAUGAACUGCUUUUGAAACUGUUUAUCUUGAGUGAAGUAGAGGUA